CACUCCUGCGGGAGGCAGCAGUGGGGAAUUUUGGACAAUGGGCGAAAGCCUGAUCCAGCAAUGCCGCGUGAGUGAAGAAGGCCUUCGGGUUGUAAAGCUCUUUUGUCAGGGAAGAAACGGUGAGAGCUAAUAUCUCUUGCUAAUGACGGUACCUGAAGAAUAAGCACCGGCUAACUACGUGCCAGCAGCCGCGGUAAUACGUAGGGUGCAAGCGUUAAUCGGAAUUACUGGGCGUAAAGCGUGCGCAGGCGGUUUUGUAAGUCUGAUGUGAAAUCCCCGGGCUCAACCUGGGAAUUGCAUUGGAGACUGCAAGGCUAGAAUCUGGCAGAGGGGGGUAGAAUUCCACGUGUAGCAGUGAAAUGCGUAGAUAUGUGGAGGAACACCGAUGGCGAAGGCAGCCCCCUGGGUCAAGAUUGACGCUCAUGCACGAAAGCGUGGGGAGCAAACAGGAUUAGAUACCCCAGUAGUCCCAUGA
RNAcentral lists this ribosomal RNA (475 nucleotides) under uncultured organism. RNAcentral describes it as "partial 16S ribosomal RNA". It matches the Rfam family "Bacterial small subunit ribosomal RNA", at positions 334 to 800 of the family's 1533-position model. The record is from RNAcentral.